Molecule: RNA transcript, 1267 nt
Organism: Rhinopithecus roxellana (golden snub-nosed monkey)
Lineage: Eukaryota; Metazoa; Chordata; Mammalia; Primates; Cercopithecidae
Gene name: KATNB1-like protein 1
Exons: 2
Source: RefSeq, a predicted model, not a curated record
AUGGCAUCUGAAACCCACAAUGUUAAAAAGCAGAACUUUUGAAAUAAUAUUCAGGAUCAUUUCGUUGAUGGACUAGGAAAAGCAUUUCUAAUUUCAUUAAUAAGAACAAGAAGGAAGUUAAGAAAUCGCAACAGUUAGCAGUUUAUAUAAAUAGAAGAGUUGGACAAGCUGUGAAAAGUCCCCAAAAACUAUGUAAGGUAAUCUUUCAUAGAAAGUUAGUUCAUUAUUCCUUUCUAAACCUCUGUUACAGGAAAAACAAACGAAACAAACAAAAAAACACAGUACCCUAGAAGUGGAACUGUGACAUGGCAAAUAGAGAAAAUGAACUGGUUUGUGCAGAACACCUGUCUGAAAAAUUAUACCAAAGUAGUCAAAUAUAUUUGCUUAACCCCAAUGCUUCCGGUUUUCACAGACAUAAAGCCCAUCAUCACAAUACAGUCAGUAUUUUUCUCAAGUUUCUCAGGAUCAUGAAACAAAUGGCCCAAGUUUUGCUCAGCAGGAAUUUGAAAUUGAAUGUAGCUUUAAGUUUCUGGAGAAAGAAGUAUACGUGAAUUUGCAUCUUGUUUGGUGAGAAUAGAAGAUCUUGGUAUUGCUGUAGAUUGCCUUCCUGUGCUCACUGGUAGUUUAUAGGGAGAAAAACAAUAUAUCUUACUUGAAGGAUGGGUAGUCUCAUUGCCUCUAGUAAAUUCACUAUGUAAAAGCAAAUUUGAAAAAUACCUAACAUUUGGUUUAAACUGGCUUCAAGCAGUCAUUAAAAGGUGGUGCUCAGAACUAUUGUCCAAAACAGAAAUUAUAAAUAAUGGAAACAUUCAGGUUUUAAAACAACAGUUAAAUGGAUUGUGGGAGCAGGAAAACCAUCUUACUUUGGUUCCAGGACAUACUGGUAAUAUAGCUAAGGAAGCAGAUGCUUAUUUAUUACCAGUGAGAGAUUUAAUCUACUAAAGAGCAUUUGUUUAUUCAAAACAUCCCUGGACUAUAUAAUUUACAAGAAAAAAAGAUUUCUUCUGAGGGAUGUGAACUGUGGAAGAAAUUAAAAUUAUUUUUUUGAUUUUAAAAAGCCACAUAAUAAAACCACUAAUGAAACCGUAACAACCUACUUCACAUAGAAGUGAAAAAAUACUCAAAAGAAACAGCUUUAACUUUAGUGAGAUGAAAGUACACUAUGGAAAAUGUUGACAUUGCUUCAUUUGGGGUUUAUAUAGUUAUUUGCUAACAUUGUUUAAGAUCUACUGGAUCUUAAUACAAUCCUGCAUAAAAAUAUAAUUUA